This is a non-coding RNA of Curvularia kusanoi, 107 nucleotides long. NCBI's taxonomy places the organism in Eukaryota, Fungi, Ascomycota, Dothideomycetes, Pleosporales, Pleosporaceae. The record is from the annotation of a GenBank genome assembly.
GGGCUCGUGGUUUAGUGGUAUAAUACUCCCUUAGCAUCUCGCAGCUCCAUUGGAGCCUUCGAAAUCCUGACUGGGAGUGGUCCGGGGUUCGAUUCCCCGCGAGUCCA